Molecule: ribosomal RNA, 460 nt
Filed under: uncultured bacterium
Lineage: Bacteria
Description: partial 16S ribosomal RNA
Rfam family: Bacterial small subunit ribosomal RNA
Source: RNAcentral
CCUACGGGUGGCAGCAGUGAGGAAUAUUGGUCAAUGGACGCAAGUCUGAACCAGCCAUGCCGCGUGCAGGAUGACGGCUCUAUGAGUUGUAAACUUCUUUUGUACGAGGGUAAACCCCGAUACGUGUCUCGGGUUGAAAGUACCGUACGAAUAAGGAUCGGCUAACUCCGUGCCAGCAGCCGCGGUAAUUCGGAGGAUCCGAGCGUUAUCCGGAUUUCUUGGGUUUAAAGGGUGCGUAGGCGGUUUGAUAAGUUAGAGGUGAAAGGUCGGGGCUCAACCCCGGAACUGCCUUUAAUACUGUGGGACUAGAGAAUAGUUGCGGUAGGGGGAAUGUAUGGUGUAGCGGUGAAAUGCUUAGAGAUAAUGCAGAACAUCGAUUGCGAAGGCAGCUUGCCAAACUAUAUCUGACGUUGAGGCACGAAAGCGUGGGUAGCAAACAGGAUUAGAUACCCGGGUAGUC